CUUUGUGCCAAAGUUCUCGAUGAGUCUAAAGCCUCUCGAGGGCCUUGGCUUAAAAGGGAAUACGAGUGAGAGUCUCGAGCAGUCCCGCUGCUGUAUUUGGUCUACAGGUAGGUUCGCUCAAUUAGCCACUGGAGGUUCUGUGUCUCUGGGAAGGGAGCGCACCGACGGCCAUAAGCCAGAAGACCUGCAAAG
This 192-nucleotide non-coding RNA is filed under the name Porphyromonas sp. Lineage: Bacteria; Pseudomonadati; Bacteroidota; Bacteroidia; Bacteroidales; Porphyromonadaceae. The record is from RNAcentral.